Molecule: ribosomal RNA, 265 nt
Filed under: uncultured archaeon
Lineage: Archaea
Description: partial 16S ribosomal RNA
Rfam family: Archaeal small subunit ribosomal RNA
Source: RNAcentral
ACACGACUACAUUAGAUACCCGGGUAGUCCUAGCCGUAAACGAUACUCGCUAGGUGUCGGCCACGGUGCGACCGUUGUCGGUGCCGUAGGGAAGCCGUGAAGCGAGCCACCUGGGAAGUACGGCCGCAAGGCUGAAACUUAAAGGAAUUGGCGGGGGAGCACAACAACGGGUGGAGCUUGCGGUUUAAUUGGAUCCAACGCCGGAAAUCUUACCGGGACCGACAGCAACAUGAAGGCCAAGCUGAAGACUUUGCCGGAUUAGCUG